Molecule: ribosomal RNA, 253 nt
Filed under: uncultured bacterium
Lineage: Bacteria
Description: partial 16S ribosomal RNA
Rfam family: Bacterial small subunit ribosomal RNA
Source: RNAcentral
GACGAACCGUGCGAGCGUUGUCCGGAAUCAUUGGGCGUAAAGCGCGUGUAGGCGGCCCGGUAAGUCCGCUGUGAAAGUCCAGGGCUCAACCCUGGAAUGCCGGUGGAUACUGUCGGGCUCGAGUCCGGAAGAGGCGAGUGGAAUUCCUGGUGUAGCGGUGAAAUGCGCAGAUAUCAGGAGGAACACCAAUGGCGAAGGCAGCUCGCUGGGACGGUACUGACGCUGAGACGCGAAAGCGUGGGGAGCAAACAGG